GAUUAUUAUCCAUACUAUUUAAACAAAAGUAUGUGGGAACUCGUAUCCAAUCAGAUGCAUAAAUGCUUAAGAGAAAUUUGAAAAAUUGAACAUCUUUCAUAUGUAUUCUUUAGA
Molecule: small RNA, 114 nt
Filed under: Proboscia inermis
Lineage: Eukaryota; Bacillariophyta; Melosirophyceae; Probosciales; Probosciaceae
Description: partial Betaproteobacteria transfer-messenger RNA
Source: RNAcentral